AGGGUUUGAUCAUGGCUCAGGACGAACGCUGGCGGCGUGCUUAACACAUGCAAGUCGAGCGAUGAAGUUUCUUCGGAAAUGAAUUAGCGGCGAACGGGUGAGGAACACGUGAAGAAUCUGCCCUCCACUUUGGGAUAACACCGGGAAACCGGUGCUAAUACCGGAUAUUGAAACAUAAGUGGCAUCACUGAGUUUUGAAAGAAUUUCGGUGGAGGAUGACUUCGCGGCCUAUCAGCUAGUUGGUGAGGUAAUGGCUCACCAAGGCAACGACGGGUAGCCGGCCUGAGAGGGCGACCGGCCACACUGGGACUGAGACACGGCCCAGACUCCUACGGGAGGCAGCAGUGGGGAAUAUUGGGCAAUGGAGGAAACUCUGACCCAGCGACGCCGCGUGCGGGAUGAAGGCCUUCGGGUUGUAAACCGCUUUCAUUAGGGAAGAAGCGAAAAGUGACGGUACCUACAAAAGAAGCACCGGCUAACUAUGUGCCAGCAGCCGCGGUAAUACA
RNAcentral lists this ribosomal RNA (506 nucleotides) under uncultured Nostocoides sp. RNAcentral's name for it is "bacterial SSU rRNA". It matches the Rfam family "Bacterial small subunit ribosomal RNA", at positions 8 to 527 of the family's 1533-position model. Lineage: Bacteria; Bacillati; Actinomycetota; Actinomycetes; Micrococcales; Intrasporangiaceae. The record is from RNAcentral.